This 253-nucleotide ribosomal RNA is filed under the name uncultured bacterium. RNAcentral describes it as "partial 16S ribosomal RNA". It matches the Rfam family "Bacterial small subunit ribosomal RNA", at positions 524 to 776 of the family's 1533-position model. The record is from RNAcentral.
UACGGAGGGGGCUAGCGUUGUUCGGAAUUACUGGGCGUAAAGCGCGCGUAGGCGGCUUUGUAAGUUAGAGGUGAAAGCCCGGAGCUUAACUCCGGAAUUGCCUUUAAGACUGCAUCGCUAGAAUCAUGGAGAGGUGAGUGGAAUUCCGAGUGUAGAGGUGAAAUUCGUAGAUAUUCGGAAGAACACCAGUGGCGAAGGCGACUCACUGGACAUGUAUUGACGCUGAGGUGCGAAAGCGUGGGGAGCAAACAGG